AACGCGAAGAACCUUACCAGCUCUUGACAUGUCCAGUAUGGGGCCGAGAGAUCGACUCCUUCAGUUCGGCUGGCUGGAACACAGGUGCUGCAUGGCUGUCGUCAGCUCGUGUCGUGAGAUGUUGGGUUAAGUCCCGCAACGAGCGCAACCCUCAUCUUCAGUUGCCAUCAGGUAAAGCUGAGCACUCUGGAGAAACUGCCGGUGACAAGCCGGAGGAAGGCGGGGAUGACGUCAAGUCCUCAUGGCCUUUAUGGGCUGGGCUACACACGUGCUACAAUGGCGGUGACAGAGGGACGCGAAGGGGCAACCCUUGGCCAAUCUCAAAAAGCCGUCUCAGUUCGGAUUGUUCUCUGCAACUCGAGAGCAUGAAGCUGGAAUCGCUAGUAAUCGCGGAUCAGCACGCCGCGGUGAAUACGUUCCCGGGCCUUGUACACACCGUAGUAC
Molecule: ribosomal RNA, 444 nt
Filed under: uncultured bacterium
Lineage: Bacteria
Description: bacterial SSU rRNA
Rfam family: Bacterial small subunit ribosomal RNA
Source: RNAcentral